CCAUCGGAGAGUUUGAUCCUGGCUCAGGAUAAACGCUGGCGGCGUGCAUGAGACAUGCAAGUCGAACGGAUGACCAGGGCUUGCUCUGGUCGUUAGUGGCGGACGGCUGAGUAACGCGUAGGCGACCUGCCCCGAAGUGGGGAAUAACUGCCCGAAAGGGUGGCUAAUACCGCAUGUGGUCACACGUUCGAUCGUGUG
Molecule: ribosomal RNA, 198 nt
Filed under: Chloroflexota bacterium
Lineage: Bacteria; Bacillati; Chloroflexota
Description: partial 16S ribosomal RNA
Rfam family: Bacterial small subunit ribosomal RNA
Source: RNAcentral